This is a long non-coding RNA of Perognathus longimembris pacificus (Pacific pocket mouse), 263 nucleotides long. RefSeq lists it as uncharacterized. The transcript has 3 exons. The record is from RefSeq and is a predicted model, not a curated record. Lineage: Eukaryota; Metazoa; Chordata; Mammalia; Rodentia; Heteromyidae.
UGGGGACAGAGUUUGCAAAUUGAGAUUUUUAUUUGGGGUAAAGUGGCUGAAAUAAAGACUCCUCUCUGGAGGAGAUGACCGAGAAUCCCAGAACGGCUCACAAGAAGUCGCCACUUCAAAAGAACACUGGAAACCAUGUUUCUUGUCUUUGGAAAUGAGCUCCACAAGACGUUAUUUUGUAAGAGGAUUUUGUAAACCUUCCUUCAAGCACCAGUACUUCUGGUGUGGAUGUGUGGGUGUGCUGUGUGUGAGAUCUGUGUGAG